GGCUCAGAACGAACGCUGGCGGCAGGCUUAACACAUGCAAGUCGAGCGCCCCGCAAGGGGAGCGGCAGACGGGUGAGUAACGCGUGGGAAUCUACCCUUUUCUACGGAAUAACGCAGGGAAACUUGUGCUAAUACCGUAUAAGCCCUUCGGGGGAAAGAUUUAUCGGGAAAGGAUGAGCCCGCGUUGGAUUAGCUAGUUGGUGGGGUAAAGGCCUACCAAGGCGACGAUCCAUAGCUGGUCUGAGAGGAUGAUCAGCCACAUUGGGACUGAGACACGGCCCAAACUCCUACGGGAGGCAGCAGUGGGGAAUAUUGGACAAUGGGCGCAAGCCUGAUCCAGCCAUGCCGCGUGAGUGAUGAAGGCCCUAGGGUUGUAAAGCUCUUU
RNAcentral lists this ribosomal RNA (385 nucleotides) under Sinorhizobium medicae. RNAcentral describes it as "bacterial SSU rRNA". It matches the Rfam family "Bacterial small subunit ribosomal RNA", at positions 21 to 436 of the family's 1533-position model. The record is from RNAcentral. Lineage: Bacteria; Pseudomonadati; Pseudomonadota; Alphaproteobacteria; Hyphomicrobiales; Rhizobiaceae.